RNAcentral lists this ribosomal RNA (253 nucleotides) under uncultured bacterium. RNAcentral describes it as "partial 16S ribosomal RNA". It matches the Rfam family "Bacterial small subunit ribosomal RNA", at positions 524 to 776 of the family's 1533-position model. The record is from RNAcentral.
UACGAAGGGGGCUAGCGUUGUUCGGAUUCAUUGGGCGUAAAGGGUGCGUAGGCGGCGCGGUAAGUCGGGUGUGAAAUCUUGGAGCUUAACUCCGAAACUGCAUUCGAUACUGCCGUGCUUGAGGACUGGAGAGGAGACUGGAAUUUACGGUGUAGCGGUGAAAUGCGUAGAUAUCAGGAGGAACACCUGUGGCGAAAGCGGCUCACUGGACCACAACUGACGCUGAGGCGCGAAAGCGUGGGGAGCAAACAGG